GGACUCGUGGCUCAGUGGUAGAGCACCUCGUUCACAUCGAGGGGGUCAGAGGUUCGAAUCCUCUCGGGUCCA
This 72-nucleotide transfer RNA is filed under the name Candidatus Shapirobacteria bacterium CG07_land_8_20_14_0_80_39_18. RNAcentral describes it as "tRNA-Val". It matches the Rfam family "tRNA". From Rfam's summary of the family: Transfer RNA (tRNA) molecules are approximately 80 nucleotides in length. Their secondary structure includes four short double-helical elements and three loops (D, anti-codon, and T loops). The record is from RNAcentral. Lineage: Bacteria; Candidatus Shapironibacteriota.